GGUCCGACCUCGGGGUGCCCGGCAUGGGCUGAGAUGCAGCGAUGCGAACCCGUUGAACCUGACCCGGCUAGGACCGGCGGAGGGAAGGUAUGGGCACUCCUC
This 102-nucleotide non-coding RNA is filed under the name Rhodovulum sp. RNAcentral's name for it is "TPP sequence". It matches the Rfam family "TPP riboswitch aptamer (THI element)". Rfam says of the family: Vitamin B(1) in its active form thiamin pyrophosphate (TPP) is an essential coenzyme that is synthesised by coupling of pyrimidine and thiazole moieties in bacteria. Lineage: Bacteria; Pseudomonadati; Pseudomonadota; Alphaproteobacteria; Rhodobacterales; Paracoccaceae. The record is from RNAcentral. RNAcentral also lists the same sequence under 1 other name.